CAUGGUUGUCGUCAGCUCGUGUCGUGAGGAUGUUGGGUUAAGUCCCGCAACGAGCGCAACCCUCGACCUUAGUUGCCAGCAUUCAGUUGGGCACUCUAAGGUGACUGCCGGCUAAAAGUCGGAGGAAGGUGGGGAUGACGUCAAAUCAUCAUGCCCCUUAUGACCUGGGCUACACACGUGCUACAAUGGGCGGUACAAAGGGUCGCGAACCCGCGAGGGGGAGCCAAUCCCAAAAAGCCGCUCUCAGUUCGGAUUGCAGGCUGCAAUUCGCCUGCAUGAAGUCGGAAUCGCUAGUAAUCGCAGGUCAGCAUACUGCGGUGAAUACGUUCCCGGGCCUU
This 338-nucleotide ribosomal RNA is filed under the name uncultured Anoxybacillus sp. Its description in RNAcentral is "bacterial SSU rRNA". It matches the Rfam family "Bacterial small subunit ribosomal RNA", at positions 1044 to 1382 of the family's 1533-position model. Lineage: Bacteria; Bacillati; Bacillota; Bacilli; Caryophanales; Anoxybacillaceae. The record is from RNAcentral.